GGACUGUGACUCUGUGCUGGGCCAGACCCGGCCCAAGUCUCCUAGUUUCAACUGUUGAAACUGACCCGCACCGUCUCCCUAUACACGGAGCACAGAAGCCGUAGUCCGAGAAGACAUUGUUCUGAGCGAAACGCCUGCCCCCACCAAACAGUAGCAAUGAAGGUGCGGUCAUCAGUUAAGAAGAUGUGUGAAUUUUGCAAAACGGUCAAACGCCGUGGCCGUGUUUAUGUACUAUGCACAGCUAACCCCAAGCAUAAGCAACGACAAGGCCUGUCAACAUUUGCAUAUGAAGGCCCAUCUGAUCCUACGUCUUCAGACACGAGUGCCAAACUGGAGAGUUUGCCUAGUCACAACCUCCGGGCUGGUCUGGCUUCUCUUAUACCCAGGAAGCAGGAGCCUUUAAUAAUGUAUGGAUGGAGGGCAAGCCUAGCAUCCAUCCUGUUCAAAAAGGUCAAUUAGCAUCCUCCUACUCAAAAGGGGGCAAGGAUAUUGAGUGCUGAUACAUUUACGGGCUGGUAUUCACAAGAAAUCCAUGGGACAGUGCAAGUUUUGCACUGUUCAUUGCAUUGUGUAUCGACUUAUUAUAAUUAUAGUAUAUACUAUUAAUUACAA
Juglans microcarpa x Juglans regia is the source of this 612-nucleotide long non-coding RNA. RefSeq lists it as uncharacterized. NCBI's taxonomy places the organism in Eukaryota, Viridiplantae, Streptophyta, Magnoliopsida, Fagales, Juglandaceae. The record is from RefSeq and is a predicted model, not a curated record. The transcript is spliced from 4 exons.